ACCCGGCUGGCUCAGUCGGUAGAGCAUGUGACUCUUGAUCUUAGGGUCAUGAGUUCGAGCCCCACGUUGGGUG
Molecule: transfer RNA, 73 nt
Filed under: Ailuropoda melanoleuca (giant panda)
Lineage: Eukaryota; Metazoa; Chordata; Mammalia; Carnivora; Ursidae
Rfam family: tRNA
About the family: Transfer RNA (tRNA) molecules are approximately 80 nucleotides in length. Their secondary structure includes four short double-helical elements and three loops (D, anti-codon, and T loops).
Source: Rfam by way of RNAcentral